CCGGGAGCGGGAGCGGAGCCGGGAGCGGAGCCGGGCAGCGGCGCGCCCGCCGAGCAUCGCGCGGCGCGGGGCGAUGAACUCGCGCAAAGUGCUGGCCCUGCAGGCCCGCAGGCGGCGGCCCAAGCAGUCCGCGGCGGCCGGCAGGAGGGACAAGCACCCGGCGCCCCACAAAAAGCCCGAGCCUCAGCAGAAAGCCCCCUCUGCGCCGCCGCCUCCGCCGCCGCCCCCGCCGCCGCCGCUGCCGGAGCCUGCCCCGCCCGAGCCCGAGGAGGAGAUUCUGGGCUCCGACGAUGAGGAGCAGGAGGAUCCCGCAGAUUACUGUAAAGGAGGCUAUCAUCCAGUGAAAAUUGGUGAUCUUUUCAAUGGCCGGUAUCAUGUUAUUAGAAAGUUAGGAUGGGGACACUUCUCUACAGUCUGGCUAUGCUGGGAUAUGCAGGGAAAACGGUUUGUUGCAAUGAAAGUUGUAAAAAGUGCCCAGCAUUAUACGGAGACAGCCUUGGAUGAAAUAAAGUUACUCAAAUGUGUUCGUGAAAGUGACCCUAAUGAUCCCAACAAGGAUAUGGUUGUACAGCUCAUUGAUGACUUCAAAAUUUCUGGAAUGAAUGGAAUUCAUGUCUGCAUGGUCUUUGAAGUACUUGGGCAUCAUCUUCUAAAAUGGAUAAUCAAGUCCAAUUAUCAAGGCCUUCCCAUCCGUUGUGUUAAAAGCAUAAUUCGACAGGUACUUCAGGGUCUGGAUUACCUGCACAGCAAAUGCAAGAUCAUUCACACGGAUAUAAAGCCCGAGAACAUCCUGAUGUGUGUGGACGAUGCCUACGUGCGCAGGAUGGCUGCUGAGGCCACCGAGUGGCAGAAGGCUGGGGCUCCUCCCCCCUCUGGCUCAGCAGUGAGUACAGCUCCACAACAAAAGCCUGUUGGAAAAAUAUCCAAAAACAAAAAGAAAAAACUGAAGAAAAAGCAGAAGAGGCAAGCUGAGCUGCUAGAAAAACGCCUGCAGGAAAUAGAAGAACUAGAGCGGGAAGCUGAAAGGAAAAAAAUAGAAGAAAAUGUAACCUCAGCUGUACCAUCAAAUGAACAAGAAGAUGAGUACCACCCAGAGGUGAAACUAAAAACAGCUGAUAUAGAAGAGGUAGUAGAUGAGGAACCUGGAAAUGAUGAUGGUGAAGCAGAAGAUCAGGAUGAAAAAGAAGACACAGAGAAGGAGAACACUGAAAAAGAUGAUGAUGUUGAGCAGGAACUUGUCAACACUGACUCUACAGACGCUAAGUGGAUAGAAUCCCCCAAAACAAAUGGCCAUAUUGUGAACGGCCCAUUCCUAUUGGAACAACAGAUUGAAGAUGAGGAAGAAGAAGAGGAAGAAUGUCCAAAUCCAGAGGAGUAUAAUCUUGAUGAUCCAAAUGCAAAAAGUGAUUACUCUUAUAGCAGCUCCUAUGAACAGUUUAAUGGUGAAUUGCCAAAUGGACGUCAUAAAAUUCCAGAGUCCCAGUUCUCGGAAUUUUCAGCGUCGGUGUUCUCUGGGGCUCUGGAGUCUGUAGCCUGUGGUUCUGCUGUGUCUGAAGGAUCAACUGUAACUGAAAGGGAGGAGAGCAGCCCAUCUCAUGACAGGAGCAGAACGGUUUCAGCUUCCAGCACUGGGGAUUUGCCAAAAACAAAAACUCGUGCUGCUGACUUACUGGUGAAUCCACUGGACCCAAGAAAUGCAGAUAAAAUUAGAGUUAAAAUUGCUGACCUGGGGAAUGCCUGCUGGGUGCACAAACACUUCACAGAAGACAUCCAGACAAGACAGUACAGAUCCAUAGAGGUUUUAAUAGGAGCAGGUUACAGUACACCUGCUGAUAUCUGGAGUACAGCAUGUAUGGCGUUUGAGCUGGCGACUGGAGAUUACUUGUUCGAGCCGCACUCUGGUGAAGACUAUUCCAGGGAUGAAGGUAUGACUCUUUUGAGACCACAUAGCACACAUCAUAGAGCUGCUAGGCAAUAUCCCAAGGCACUUUGCUCUAUCUGGAAAAUAUUCUCGGGAAUUCUUCAAUCGCAGAGACCACAUAGCAUUGAUCAUUGAACUGCUGGGGAAAAUCCCUCGAAAAUACGCUAUGUUGGGGAAAUAUUCCAAGGAGUUUUUCACCAAAAAAGGAGAACUCCGACACAUUACCAAGUUGAAACCUUGGAGUCUUUUUGAUGUGCUUGUGGAGAAGUAUGGUUGGCCUCAUGAAGAUGCUGCACAGUUUACAGAUUUCCUGAUCCCCAUGCUAGAAAUGGUCCCAGAGAAACGCGCUUCAGCUGGAGAAUGCCUUAGGCAUCCGUGGCUGAAUUCUUAGCAGAAUCUUCCAGCUGUAAAAAAAAAAAUAAAAAAAAGCCAGCAACCACUUUCCAAUGCGUUGGACCUAAAUGGUGACUAUCACAAAAUCUUUAGCAGGAUCACACGUGAGCUGGCUUCAAUCCUCAGACCUUUAUUUUGCUUGAGGUACUGUUUGACAUUUUGCUUUUUGUGCACUGUGUUCUUGGGGAAGGGUAGUCUUUUUGUCCUCAGCUAGUAGUUUACUCACCCACUUUCUUCAGAAAACACUUAACGUGUCUUUAAGCAUUGUUUCUUGUGUUGUGUGACAUUCAGAUGUCAGAUUUUUGAACAAAAGAAACUUCCCCCCAUGUGUUUUGGCAAGUUUUGUAACUAUUUAUGAAAAAAAAAAUAUUUUAGCUGAUGCAUAUUAUAUAAUUUACGAGUGUAAGAAAUUUAUCAAGUCAGAACUGAGUUACGGCAAGGAAUUGUACAAUUUUAUCUUCUGGCAAAGGGAUGUCAUUCUUGUAUUAUAGUGUAUGUAAAUGCACCCUGUAAAUGUUUAUUUCCAUUUAAAUAUGGGACUGGGGACUCAAUUUCAGAGUAAAGCAACUAAGUUUUAGAGAGCUUUAUAGCAAACCAAUUGCAUGUAGUGGACUUUAAACUGCUUUAAGGAAUUGUGUAAACUUUCUAUUCUGUAGCAGUUCCUGUUCAUUGGGUUUUAAACAAAGUGGCUCUGGUUUACAGGAUUUCAUUCCCCAAACGGCACUUUAAAGGAAGGCUAGACUUCUUUCUAAUAAAGUAUGCAUUAUCAUUUAGCACUCCCUUUUAGAACUUUUGCCUAUUUUAAGUGCUUUUAAGAAAAGAAAAAUAGCAAUUUCCCUUACAAUGUGAUAGUGAAGACAUGGUACCAUAUGGUGUUGCCUUUUUAUAAGCACUGUAAGUUGUACUAUACCUUAAGAAAAAAAAUUAAAAGUAGAGCAUGAGAACCACUCUCUGUGUAGAAUUACUGAUCUUUUAUAAUAAAAGUGUGUGCUUGGCAUCAGAUAAGGAAGGAUAUAGCUGCAGAUAUUUACAGUGCAGUGGGUAAAAUAAUCCAAGAAGCAAGAUCAUGCUCAUUCCAUUCAUAGCUUUACAUGUUUCUAAAACAAAUUGCACUAGCUUUAUUCUUUCCCAUCCGUAGACAUACGACUGCCCAUUGUAAGUUGCACGCAACAAUUAUGUGUUUCCUAGGAAAAAAAGCUGCAUAGGCUGAAGCUUAUAGGCAAUACAGAUUUUAGAAUGUACAGUACGGAGGUGUGUUUGGGCCUCUUUUAGAAGUCAGUGGGAUGAAUGUAAGCUUACUCCUGAUCUUCAUGUAACUACAGUGCCACUUUUUUCUUGACUUUGUCCAUAUAAAAUUUAUUCACAUGCCUUUGCAAUAACUAGAUUGUGAGAAGAUAGCCCCAUGCUGUAACAAUAACCAGUUGUUUGAGGUGCUUGCAGUUGUCUAAUUAAAGUGUUUUGUUUUUUCAGACA
Camarhynchus parvulus is the source of this 3787-nucleotide RNA transcript. It is a transcript of the gene named SRSF protein kinase 2, with no coding region annotated. The transcript has 17 exons. The record is from RefSeq and is a predicted model, not a curated record. NCBI's taxonomy places the organism in Eukaryota, Metazoa, Chordata, Aves, Passeriformes, Thraupidae.